RNAcentral lists this long non-coding RNA (446 nucleotides) under Polistes fuscatus (common paper wasp). RNAcentral describes it as "uncharacterized LOC122516240". The record is from RNAcentral. Lineage: Eukaryota; Metazoa; Arthropoda; Insecta; Hymenoptera; Vespidae.
UUCUUCGAGUCCGUUGAACUUGAAAAUCUAGCUGUGUAUUUUGAAGGGAAUCGAUCGAUCACAAACCGUUGAACGAAAACUCUCGGCAAAAGUAUAAAGUGACUAUCGCGAUAAUUCGAUACUCCCAAUUGGUUUUUUUUUCUUCUUUUCUUUUUCCGUUGUCUACUUUUGAACAAACGUAUCGUUGACUCGAAAACGUUUUAUCGUUAGAAAAUAGAAACUGUGUUACGAGGAAACGGAUCAUAUCGAUUAAGGGAGUCAAAGAGGUACACGUGAAACAAGCUCGAGCUUAAACUUUAUCAACCAUCUUGUUGCUGCCAACGUAAUAGAUACGAAUCUGUCAACAUACCUUACGGGGAACAACAAAUAAACAUACGGCACGUACGAGAAACAAAGCUUAUGUUAGUGUUCACGAUUAUUUAUCAAGAAAGUCCAUUGGGAAAGGA